This 76-nucleotide transfer RNA is filed under the name Omphalius rusticus. RNAcentral describes it as "tRNA-Asp". It matches the Rfam family "tRNA". From Rfam's summary of the family: Transfer RNA (tRNA) molecules are approximately 80 nucleotides in length. Their secondary structure includes four short double-helical elements and three loops (D, anti-codon, and T loops). The record is from RNAcentral. Lineage: Eukaryota; Metazoa; Mollusca; Gastropoda; Trochida; Tegulidae.
GGAAAAUUAGUUAAAACGUUGUAUAACAUAUGCUUGUCAAGCUUAAGUUGCUGUAAUUCAUCCGCAGUAUUUUCCU